RNAcentral lists this ribosomal RNA (373 nucleotides) under uncultured organism. RNAcentral describes it as "partial 16S ribosomal RNA". It matches the Rfam family "Bacterial small subunit ribosomal RNA", at positions 527 to 896 of the family's 1533-position model. The record is from RNAcentral.
GUAGGUGGCAAGCGUUGUCCGGAGUUAUUGGGCGUAAAGCGCGCGCAGGUGGUUCUUUAAGUCUGAUGUGAAAGCCCCCGGGCUCAACCGGGGAGGGUCAUUGGAAACUGGGGAACUUGAGUGCAGGAGAGGAAAGUGGGAUUCCACGUGUAGCGGUGAAAUGCGUAGAUAUGUGGUGGAACACCAGUGGCGAAGGCGACUUUCUGGCCUGUAACUGACACUGAGGCGCGAAAGCGUGGGGAGCAAACAGGAUUAGAUACCCUGGUAGUCCACGCCGUAAACGAUGAGUGCUAAGUGUUGGGGGGUUUCCGCCCCUCAGUGCUGCAGCUAACGCAUUAAGCACUCCGCCUGGGGAGUACGGUCGCAAAGACUG